Molecule: ribosomal RNA, 455 nt
Filed under: uncultured bacterium
Lineage: Bacteria
Description: bacterial SSU rRNA
Rfam family: Bacterial small subunit ribosomal RNA
Source: RNAcentral
UACGGAAGGCAGCAGUGAGGAAUAUUGCACAAUGGGCGAAAGCCUGAUGCAGCUAUGCCGCGUGUAUGAAGAAGGCCUUAGGGUUGUAAAGUACUUUCAUCGGGGAGGAAAAAACAAAACUAAUAAUUUUAUUUCUUGACGUUACCCGAAAAAGAAGCACCGGCUAACUCCGUGCCAGCAGCCGCGGUAAUACGGAGGGUGCUAGCGUUAAUCAGAAUUACUGGGCGUAAAGAGCACGUAGGUGGUUUUUUAAGUCAGAUGUGAAAUCCCUGGGCUUAACCUAGGAACUGCAUUUUGAAACUGAAAUACUAGAGUAUCGUAGAGGGAGGUAGAAUUCUAGGUGUAGCGGUGAAAUGCGUAGAUAUCUGGAGGAAUACCUGUGGCGAAAGCGGCCUCCUAAACGAAUACUGACACUGAGGUGCGAAAGCGUGGGGAGCAAACAGGGAUUAGAUACC